GGCCUAUUGAUUAUAAUUUGAGGUCUGACCUGCCCAAUGAUUUAAUAUUGAAUGGCCGCGGUAAUUUGACCGUGCAAAGGUAGCAUAAUAAUUAGUUUUUUAAUUGAAAGCUUGUAUGAAGGGUUUGAUGAAAAAAUAACUGUCUCUGUUUAAAUUUAUUAGAAUUUUAUUUUUAAGUAAAAAAGCUUAAAUAUAUAUAGAAGACGAGAAGACCCUAUAGAGUUUAAUAAUUAAUAGUAUAAAAAGAGUUAAGUAUUAUUAAUUUUUAUAUUAAAAAUUAUUUGAUUGGGGUGAUAAAAAAAUUUGAUAAACUUUUUUUGUAUAAAAACAUUGAUUAAUGAAAAUUUGAUCCUUAUUUAAAGAUUAAAAGAUAAAAUUACCUUAGGGAUAACAGCGUAAUUUUUUUUUAGAGUUCAAAUUGAAAAAAAAGAUUGCGACCUCGAUGUUGGAUUAAAAAAAAUUAUUGGUGUAGAAGCUAAUAAAUUAGGUCUGUUCGACCUUUAAAAUUUUACAUGAUCUGAGUUUAAACCGGKGKGAGCCAGGUCGGUUUCUAUCU
This 556-nucleotide ribosomal RNA is filed under the name Pseudoporopterus sp. ARC0884. RNAcentral describes it as "partial 16S ribosomal RNA". It matches the Rfam family "Bacterial large subunit ribosomal RNA", at positions 1819 to 2643 of the family's 2925-position model. The record is from RNAcentral. Lineage: Eukaryota; Metazoa; Arthropoda; Insecta; Coleoptera; Curculionidae.